This 226-nucleotide long non-coding RNA is filed under the name Solanum tuberosum (potato). RNAcentral describes it as "long non-coding RNA (STUB_LNC010656)". Lineage: Eukaryota; Viridiplantae; Streptophyta; Magnoliopsida; Solanales; Solanaceae. The record is from RNAcentral.
UUUGUUUAAACCUGCUUCCAGAAAUGGUUCUAUAGAGUGACUGUUCUGCAGCUGGUCUCUUUCUAACAAGAAUGAUAGUAUGUCCUCUGUUGUUAUACAUCUUACAUCUGUCCGGUCGAGCAUAUGUUGAGUGUGUUUCAACCUUAGCCUUGUUCUGUUUUGAUAUAUCCUUCAAGUCUUGUCGUUUUAACAAGAUUAUCCUUUUUUUCUUCUCCAUAAUCAUAAG